Molecule: long non-coding RNA, 1001 nt
Filed under: Volvox carteri
Lineage: Eukaryota; Viridiplantae; Chlorophyta; Chlorophyceae; Chlamydomonadales; Volvocaceae
Description: long non-coding RNA (VCAR_LNC001058)
Source: RNAcentral
CGACAUCACUCCCGUCGAGCGUUGCGACAUAAAGUAAACUAUGUCCAACUUAUUCAAGGUGUUAGCUGUUCAUGCCUAGAUGCAUUCAAGCACAGCAGCUGUAUGGCUACCAGGCCUGUGGCUCCGGCGUGGUCCCAACCGUCCCUGCACGUGCAAAUAGGUACAAGCGCGUGCCAUACAUACCACGCCGUAGAGUUUACGCGCUUCCGGUUUAUCGGUUCACUAAUAAACCAAUGCGUCGCUACGAUAACCGAUGUCAGCUUGGCGGGCUUCGAUGGUCCGUCAUGUACACAUAACUGUUUUGAGGACAGUCAUGGCCUUGACAAAACUUAGUAUAAAUUGUGCUAGGAUUGUGACUUCCUAAAGACCAGGCAGGCCAGGAGGAUUAUGCUAAGCGAGCCAGAAUCGAACAGACCCUCCAGAGACUACAGUGUCCGCUCUUACAUGCACUGCCUUGCCACCCAUGAUCAUCCACAAAACACGGAGACGGACACUUUUGUCAGCAUGGAUCAUCAAAUGUGUCAUCCGACGCUAUGGAAAGCACCAGGCACCAGUCUUUGUGGGGCCUACGGCACGAGGGCACCCACAUCACACCAGCAGUAAACGCCUGAUCAAUCACUAGUGAAUGUCCAGGAAACAAGACGGCGAGAUCUCUGGUCAAGUGCCACUCAAUUGGGAGGGAGCUAAGUUACAGGCACCCUUGCCGAUUACCACCUUCACUCGGGCCCUGGCAGCCCUGUUGGAUGCUUAAUGCCUAAAGCUUGCAAUCAGAAGCCGCCUUGCGGCACUUCGUUAUCACUGCCACAGUAUAACAAUCUCCUUGUAAAUGUGUGCUGCACAGGCGAUAACAGAGGCACCAGGCUCCAAGCGCAAGGCUUGCUCAGACAUGUCAGCUCUCCGCGACAAGAUGCGGCCGCAGGUGCAGGUCAGGUACAAAGCUGUGGGUGCGCUUGCUGGAUAAAGUGGCCCGCUCUACCACGUCCCUUCAUCGAGCCUCCUAC